AAUCUUUAGAAUGGUACUUCAAUACUGACCACACAGAUUUUUGCCGCUGUUUAUAUGAUGUUUUUUCUUCACAGGAACCAGUGUCCGAGGAAAAGAAGGAAGAUAAUGAGGCAAUGGGCAGAGUGGAUGAGGGAGUGGAAGAGUUUUUCGCCAAGAAAAUCAUUCCUGACUGUGCAUUAAAAGGCCGAUGGGAGGAGUCAAACCCUGCCCAAAUCCUUCCCACAGUGCCAAGUUCCACCCCUUUUUCCACUCUGUCUGACAUCACUCCAUCUACCACCACUCCCAUCAUCUCUCCCUCUGCCACAUCUACUGAUACCUCCCUUCCAUCCAUUAAUGUUCACUCCCUUUCCUCAUCUACCACCUUCCCAUCCACAACUUGUUCCUCCACCACCACAAUUCCUACAAAAAAUAUAAAGAAAAAGUUUGGUGACUUCUUCGCCUUCAAGAGGGCUCGAGCAGGCCGAGCUGCCAAGACAGGCAGUGGAGAUGGAGGACAUGGAGCUGAAGGGGUCAAGGUCAAAAGGACCUCCAUUGCAGAUCUCAUUCGACCCCUCCGAGAGGCCAAAGACAGGGACAGAGACAAGGAGAGGGAGAAGGAAAGAGAGAAGGAGACAGAGGAGGAUGCUAACAUUUAUAAUGAUGCCACUACUACAGAAGGAACUGCCGCCCCCGGUCGCUAUCUUGCAGACGUUGUGAGGGAAACGGUAACCCCCCCUGAGUCAUUAAGCACAACACAAUCCAGUGAGAUGACUCCUUUCUACCCCACCAUAACAACAAACCCCAAACUCACCACCUUUGUGCUUUCUGAACCGGAGCAAGCAGCAGUUCCUGUACUACCACACCUCAGCACCACUCCUGCAGUCAUUACAACACCACCUGAGCCAGAAGCUCCAUCAUAUGUGGAGAGGAGACACAAGGUGACCAAAAGACUGAGAGAAAACAAGAGCCAGAGUCUCAUACUGCUGACAGGAAUAGAGCCAGAUGACAAGGAUAAUACACCCAAUAAGAAACAUGCAUCUGAUGGUGCACCUGGCUUUGAACAGAGGCUUCAGGUGAUGCUGCACAGAAUGGGAGUGUCCAAAACUCCACCUGCUGAAACCAAGAUGUGCCAGGUAGACAGGAAUAAAGACGAGGAGCUGAGAAAAGCCACCUCUGAAGGUGCUAUCCUAAACAAACCAGAACUACCUCCCAAAGACAUCAAGUCCAGAAUAAUGUCCACUUCAAGAGCUGAGUCCGGACAUCCUCUGAGAGUGCAAGACUCCAACCGACCAGAACUGCUUUACCCAAAGCCUGCCCUUCCUGAGUGCAUCAUGGGUCCUCUGCCCCCCAAACCUUCCUUAGCAGCCAAACUCCCCCCACCCAUCCCAGCUGCUCGCCCCUCCUCUGCUCCUGCCUUCACCAGCUCAACAGAGCAGGUCCACCUUACAGCCCACAGACAUGAUGGCAGGCCAAUGGAAACAGAGCAGAAUGGCAGCAGGGACGGUGUGCAGGGUGAAAUCCCCCCCCUGUCUCCAAGGAAGGAACUUCAUUCUUCAGCCCCAAAAUCUCACAGAGAAGACAGCGCAUCAGAUCGCAACGAGAAAGUACAAUCUGUCACUGAGGAGAGUCUUCCUAAGCUACGCCAACACUUGAAGCCCCUCCCACAGCGUAGAGCUGUAUCUGUCCAUGAGGAGGCACUGACCAUGACGCAAGAACUCAAGGCUGUAUUACAGAAGUCACCCAUCCGUUUCCGGGGCAACCGCUGGGAUCUGCCCUCCUGCAAAGAAGAUGAAGCACAUGCAAACAAGCCAGAUGAUGAAAAGAAGGUCAAGAGUCAGAUGGAUGAACAAGAGGCAGAGAGAGGACAAGCAAGCUGUGGAGAUACAGUGCCUCCAACCAAGCAGCUACUUUCACAAGAGGUAGAAGUACCCAGAUGCAGUGCAUCUGACAAGACUUUUACUGUGAUAGAGAGACCUCCCAUACUACCCAGGAAAGUGGAAAAGUUACCUGUAAACCUUGCAUCUAAGAGAAAGAGUCCAACCAGAAUCUCAGCUUCCUCACCAUUGCAAGAAAAAGUCCACAACACGUUGCCAGUUGGCUCUAAAUCCACAGAGAUAUCCCGCAUAAGCCCGUCCUCCCAGAAAAACAGAUUUGUCGCAUUGGAUCAGGGUAAUAACCCACAAGGGAAAGGAGAGGCACUUUCCCCACAGCACACAAAGAUGGCCGAGCCAGCAGAGCUCAGAAGUGAGCCCUGUCUGUUUGACUGAUGCACACAACAGUCUGACCUAGAAGAGCUCUGUCACAUCACUGACGUCAGGAAGUACGCAGCCUGUCACAGUGGAACAGUGUUGCAAGAUGGAAUCCAGAGCAACAGAACCAGGGGCACCAGGAAGGAGCUGCAUGGUGCAAUCUUGGGGACAAUGAGGUGGUAAAGAGACAGUUAACUUUUUGUUGAAAUCUCGCUUGAGAUUAACUCAGUAUUCUGUGAGAAUAGUGGACAACUUAAUUGUCAGGCUCUGGGGGACGUUCCAGGGGACUUUUAGGAAUGGUGGCAUGUAGCAUUUCUUGUGACAGUGCUCCUGGACAUAAUAAGAUAGGCUGACAAAUUAAUGACCAGAGCAAGUUGGCCCAUGCUCUGGGUUAUCAACCCAGUGAGACAGAAAACACAGUAGUUUAAAAUAAGUAUGAGAUUUGAGUAAAACCACUGUGACAGAAGGGAGGAAACUAUGUAAAACCACUGACAUGAUCUCCAAUAGCUUCCUGACCCACAUGUGGAAAUCAGGCUCAGAAACAAAAUUUAAAUAUUAAGGUAAGAAUGUGAAGAUCCUCUGUCAGGAGACGCCACAUAUUCACAAACCAAAACAAAAACACUCACAUGGAUCCCAACAUCCACUCCAAGGACUAUCAUUUAUAAGCCAUAUUGAGCUAAGCAUGUUUGUGUGAAUAUAUUCAUAGAUAAAAUAUUUAAAUAAAUAAAACUGUGGAGGUUGUUUUUCUAAAGUUUAGAGUUAAAGAAUUACCACUGGAGAAAUUAUCUCUAAUUACAGGGGUAACUGUACAAAUAAUCAUGGUUUGGCACAUUUUCUGUUUGCUUCAAUCAAGAGAAACAAAUAAAAAGUGGCCAUUAAAGAACUUCUGCUCGAGGUUGUUUAAGGUGAGUAGUUCAGCAUAGCGCAAACCAAGCUACGUGGCAUACUGAUGGUGAAAAAUCCCUACCCUGACAAAGUUGUUUUUGUCCACUUGCUUUCUCUGCUGUAGCGGGAUGAGGAGCCUCAAUGUUCCCAAAUGUCAGAGUUUAGUGAUCAUUAAAACACCUCUCUGUUUUGGUGUCACUGUUUAAAGUUGGUUCUGAACAUAAACAUUCUGCAGGUGUUCAGGUAUAAGACAACAAUGUACUCAUUUGGUAUAUUGUUGUACCAAGCCAACAGGGUUGUACUGGGUAAUUUUGGUAAAAAAUAUAUGUACUGUUACAUCUCUAAUUACUGGUGUAAAGAAAGAAUGAAAGAAUGAAACAAAGUCAUUAUGCUCUGGGCUAAGAUCUGUAUAUUUCCAUCCAUAGUCGUUCUGGCAACCUUAAGCUUGGAGGAUACUUCAUAAAUCCAACAUCAUGUCUUCUUUGUAUCCCAGUUUCACUUUCAGACAACUAAUGGUCAUUUAAGGGAAAAACAAGCAGCUUCUAAAUACCAGUGACAGAGAGUUUAUUGAGAUGCAUUAAGUGUACUUUACAGUCCAAAAUUCAACUACAGUACAAAGAAGCAAACAGAGAUUUUCUUGGAUUAUAUUCAUAUCUUAAUAUGUCAAUUAAAGUCUAACACAGAAACAUAUUCAUCAGUAAAUGGUCUUUCACUUCUGAAAAUAAAACAUUUAUGGGGCGUCAUGAAAAAUAACAUCCACCUAUUUUUA
RNA transcript from Poecilia latipinna (sailfin molly), 3882 nucleotides. It is a transcript of the gene named flocculation protein FLO11-like, with no coding region annotated. The transcript is spliced from 11 exons. Lineage: Eukaryota; Metazoa; Chordata; Actinopteri; Cyprinodontiformes; Poeciliidae. The record is from RefSeq and is a predicted model, not a curated record.